This is a long non-coding RNA of Jaculus jaculus (lesser Egyptian jerboa), 397 nucleotides long. RefSeq lists it as uncharacterized. The transcript is spliced from 3 exons. The record is from RefSeq and is a predicted model, not a curated record. NCBI's taxonomy places the organism in Eukaryota, Metazoa, Chordata, Mammalia, Rodentia, Dipodidae.
CUCUGAUUGGUGGGAUAAGUGAGCGAGGAGCUCGGGGGAGGAGCAGAGGCAGCCGCGCCACAAGGGCAUUAACCUGUGGGUUACUGGCUGCCGUGGCCGAACUCUCAAUGACACUCUUCUUCCGUUCUCCACGCACUGGAGGGCUAGCUCCAGCCCGGUUGUCUAGCUCUUUAGGAGCCUGAAAACAGACAGAGGACCCCAGUAAGGUGUGAAGACUGAACACAGGAAGACCGGAAAUGAAAAGCAGGGGCUUCCCCCUUGAGGUUCUCUACACCAUUCUUGGAUUUGCAUGACCGCUCCCGAGGGACAUGCUCGUUCUCUUCUGGAGAGACGCCGGAAAAGGUCAGAAAGGAUCCGAACAUAUACGGCUUGGAAAAUAAAUAAAUAAGCAAACUGG